AUGCAAUCUAUAAGAUACUAUGCACAUGUGAGUUUCUUAAUCACUACACCAGCAAUCAAAGGCAAAAAGGAUUUCAUUGAAUACGUUGCGAGAACAUUGAACCGCGGAAGCUAUUCUUGGUCUCUUGGCUUAAGGGCUUUCUACUUGUCAAUUCCUCUUGUUCUAUGGAUUUAUGGUCCCAUACCUAUGUUUGUUUGUUCUUGCUUCACAUCAUUUCUUUUGUACUUCUUGGAUACAACUACUCAGAUCACAAGAGAUCUUCACAAUAAGUCCUUUAGAGAGAAGGAAAGUACUACUCAGGAAGUGGAUGCAGCAGCAUAG
This is a non-coding RNA of Vicia faba (fava bean), 321 nucleotides long. NCBI's taxonomy places the organism in Eukaryota, Viridiplantae, Streptophyta, Magnoliopsida, Fabales, Fabaceae. The record is from the annotation of a GenBank genome assembly.